Mauremys mutica (yellowpond turtle) is the source of this 264-nucleotide long non-coding RNA. RefSeq lists it as uncharacterized. The record is from RefSeq and is a predicted model, not a curated record. NCBI's taxonomy places the organism in Eukaryota, Metazoa, Chordata, Testudines, Geoemydidae. The transcript is spliced from 3 exons.
UCAUCCAUGACCAUUUCUAGAGCAACUGCCUUACUGAUAAGGGUUAAACUGCUGCAUGACUGGGAAAUGCUAUGCUACAUUAAGCAACUGAAUGAAGUUCAUGGCAGUAGCUUCAGCAGUACCUGGGUUGCAUUGCUGCUAAAAGUUGUGGAUGGUGGAAUAUCUAUGAAUUUCACAGGACAUGACUAGCCAAGCGGGCUGCUGCAGCUCACUCACCCUUGGUAUGGUGAAAACGGACAUUCAAACAACAAAGCUAGUAGGCAG